Molecule: unclassified non-coding RNA, 236 nt
Filed under: plant metagenome
Description: partial contains small subunit ribosomal RNA, internal transcribed spacer 1, and 5.8S ribosomal RNA
Source: RNAcentral
UUUCCGUAGGUGAACCUGCGGAAGGAUCAUUACCGAGUGAGGGCCCUUUGGGUCCAACCUCCCACCCGUGUUUAUCGUACCUUGUUGCUUCGGCGGGCCCGCCUCACGGCCGCCGGGGGGCACCCGCCCCCGGGCCCGCGCCCGCCGAAGACACCAUUGAACGCUGUCUGAAGAUUGCAGUCUGAGCAUCUUAGCUAAAUCAGUUAAAACUUUCAACAACGGAUCUCUUGGUUCCG